GCAAGAAGCUGCUGCUGGGGGUCAGGCUUGUAGCUUUUAGUGUUCUAAACACUGAUGGAAAUUCAUUGUUUGGCUGCUGUUUCACGCUGUUAGUUGCGAGUUUGCAUUGAACCGUGAAUAAAACAAAGCAGUGUGUGCAAACGGGCUCAUCCCGCGAAGGAGAAAUAUAGCAGUCACCGGAUUAAGAGUUUCCAGCAAAAUAUUUGAAAUCGUGCCUGUUGUGCUUCCCUUCAAUAGUUCGUGUAUUGGGAGCUGGAUAUUGAACCGUGCAAUUAUCUGAUGUGUCAAGACAAUGUCACGUUUCCGUGGUGCAACACCAAGUGUGACUAGCUGCUCCUACUAACAGCAGGCAAAUACAUGAAGGACCAAGACAGUGUAUCAUUUCCUUGGUGCAAAGCCAAGUGUGAGCAGCUGCUUCUCACAAACAGCAGACAAACGCUUGAAGGAACAAGGCAAUGUAUCAUUUCUUCAGUACAAAGCCAAUUGUGACCAGCUCGUCCUAACAAACAGCAGGUAUGUUCCCACUGUCACAGCAGAGAACGUCCUUUCCACAGUCACAGAGCAGAUUGAAUCAGACACCAUUGAACUUUAAUUUCCAGUCAGACACGUUCAAACCGACAAUAAAACAACACGGAGGAAUGCCACUUUA
Molecule: long non-coding RNA, 649 nt
Organism: Stegostoma tigrinum
Lineage: Eukaryota; Metazoa; Chordata; Chondrichthyes; Orectolobiformes; Stegostomatidae
Exons: 4
Source: RefSeq, a predicted model, not a curated record